CCUACGGGGUGCUGCAGUCGAGAAUCAUUCACAAUGGGGGAAACCCUGAUGGUGCGACGCCGCGUGGGGGAAUGAAGGUCUUCGGAUUGUAAACCCCUGUCAUGUGGGAGCAAAUUAAAAAGAUAGUACCACAAGAGGAAGAGACGGCUAACUCUGUGCCAGCAGCCGCGGUAAUACAGAGGUCUCAAGCGUUGUUCGGAAUCACUGGGCGUAAAGCGUGCGUAGGCUGUUUCGUAAGUCGUGUGUGAAAGGCGCGGGCCCAACCCGCGGACGGCACAUGAUACUGCGAGACUAGAGUAAUGGAGGGGGAACCGGAAUUCUCGGUGUAGCAGUGAAAUGCGUAGAUAUCGGGAGGAACACUCGUGGCGAAGGCGGGUUCCUGGACAUUAACUGACGCUGAGGCACGAAGGCCAGGGGAGCGAAAGGGAUUAGAUACCCCAGUAGUC
This 446-nucleotide ribosomal RNA is filed under the name uncultured bacterium. RNAcentral's name for it is "partial 16S ribosomal RNA". It matches the Rfam family "Bacterial small subunit ribosomal RNA", at positions 338 to 795 of the family's 1533-position model. The record is from RNAcentral.